ACGGGUGUAGCUCAAUUGGUCAGAGUGGCGGUCUCCAAAACCGCAGGCUGGGGGUUCGAGUCCCUCCACCCGUGCAA
Molecule: transfer RNA, 77 nt
Filed under: Bacteroidota bacterium
Lineage: Bacteria; Pseudomonadati; Bacteroidota
Description: Bacteroidetes bacterium tRNA-Trp
Rfam family: tRNA
About the family: Transfer RNA (tRNA) molecules are approximately 80 nucleotides in length. Their secondary structure includes four short double-helical elements and three loops (D, anti-codon, and T loops). Further hydrogen bonds mediate the characteristic L-shaped molecular structure. tRNAs have two regions of fundamental functional importance: the anti-codon, which is responsible for specific mRNA codon recognition, and the 3' end, to which the tRNAs corresponding amino acid is attached (by aminoacyl-tRNA synthetases). tRNAs cope with the degeneracy of the genetic code in two manners: having more than one tRNA (with a specific anti-codon) for a particular amino acid; and 'wobble' base-pairing, i.e. permitting non-standard base-pairing at the 3rd anti-codon position.
Source: RNAcentral